UUAACGGAGAGUUUGAUCCUGGCUCAGGACGAACGCUGGCGGCGUGCCUAACACAUGCAAGUCGAGCGGGAUCCAUCCAGUAGCAAUACUGGGGAAGAUCUAGCGGCGAACGGGUGAGUAACACGUGAGAAACCUGCCCCGAACUUUGGG
Molecule: ribosomal RNA, 150 nt
Filed under: Actinomycetota bacterium
Lineage: Bacteria; Bacillati; Actinomycetota
Description: Actinobacteria bacterium partial 16S ribosomal RNA
Rfam family: Bacterial small subunit ribosomal RNA
Source: RNAcentral